This 253-nucleotide ribosomal RNA is filed under the name uncultured bacterium. Its description in RNAcentral is "partial 16S ribosomal RNA". It matches the Rfam family "Bacterial small subunit ribosomal RNA", at positions 524 to 776 of the family's 1533-position model. The record is from RNAcentral.
UACGUAGGGGGCAAGCGUUGUCCGGAUUUAUUGGGCGUAAAGAGCGUGUAGGCGGUUCGGUAGGUCCGUUGUGAAAACUCGAGGCUCAACCUCGAGACGCCGAUGGAAACCCCCGAACUAGAGUCCGGAAGAGGAGAGUGGAAUUCAUGGUGUAGCAGUGAAAUGCGUAGAGAUCAUGAGGAAGACCAGUGGCGAAGGCGGGUCUCUGGACAGUUCCUGACACUGAGACACGAAGGCCAGGGGAGCAAACAGG